RNAcentral lists this ribosomal RNA (400 nucleotides) under uncultured bacterium. Its description in RNAcentral is "bacterial SSU rRNA". It matches the Rfam family "Bacterial small subunit ribosomal RNA", at positions 359 to 776 of the family's 1533-position model. The record is from RNAcentral.
GAAUCUUGGACAAUGGGCGCAAGCCUGAUCCAGCCAUGCCGCGUGAGUGACGAAGGCCUUAGGGUUGUAAAGCUCUUUUGCCGGGGACGAUAAUGACGGUACCCGGAGAAUAAGUCCCGGCUAACUUCGUGCCAGCAGCCUCGGUAAUACGAAGGGGACUAGCGUUGUUCGGAAUUACUGGGCGUAAAGCGCACGUAGGCGGAUUUGUAAGUCAGGGGUGAAAUCCCGGGGCUCAACCUCGGAACUGCCUUUGAUACUGCAAAUCUCGAGUCCGAUAGAGGUGGGUGGAAUUCCUAGUGUAGAGGUGAAAUUCGUAGAUAUUAGGAAGAACACCGGUGGCGAAGGCGGCCCACUGGAUCGGUACUGACGCUGAGGUGCGAAAGCGUGGGGAGCAAACAGG